UUGUUAACUUAGUCAGCAUAUAAAUCAAAAUUAGAAUGAUGCAACUAAGAUUAGUAUGGCAUCUGCACAAGAAUGACAACCAAUUGUAAGAAUUACUUUUCUUGUUU
Sarcophilus harrisii (Tasmanian devil) is the source of this 107-nucleotide small nuclear RNA. The record is from Ensembl. Lineage: Eukaryota; Metazoa; Chordata; Mammalia; Dasyuromorphia; Dasyuridae.